Molecule: non-coding RNA, 301 nt
Filed under: Mycobacterium sherrisii
Lineage: Bacteria; Bacillati; Actinomycetota; Actinomycetes; Mycobacteriales; Mycobacteriaceae
Description: Mycobacterium smegmatis small RNA 1
Rfam family: Mycobacterium smegmatis small RNA 1
About the family: Mycobacterium smegmatis small RNA 1 is highly expressed during stationary phase of growth.
Source: Rfam by way of RNAcentral
ACGGAAGCCCGGCGAAGCCAAGGUCGAUCCGGAAGAGAAGGUUCGAUCUCCCGACCCGGGCGCCCAGCACGGUACCCGGCACCCACGCGGAGUCAUAGCCGCGAUAAUGGCAGAAGUGUUGCGGGCCUGCGUAAUUGCGAAAAGCAGAAGAGCUUGGACGGCCCUUUGGGUGGGGCUGGAGUUCGAAGCGUCGCAAGAUCGCCGAGGCCACCCACGCAGCCCAGAAGUGCACGCAUGGUAACCGGGUUCCGUGCUAGCGGGCGGCGCACCGAAUACUUCGGAACGCCGCCCGCUCUGCAUG